This 301-nucleotide ribosomal RNA is filed under the name uncultured bacterium. Its description in RNAcentral is "partial 16S ribosomal RNA". It matches the Rfam family "Bacterial small subunit ribosomal RNA", at positions 509 to 807 of the family's 1533-position model. The record is from RNAcentral.
CAGCAGCCGCGGUAAUACAGAGGGUGCGAGCGUUAAUCGGAUUUACUGGGCGUAAAGCGUGCGUAGGCGGCUUCUUAAGUCGGAUGUGAAAUCCCUGAGCUUAACUUAGGAAUUGCAUUCGAUACUGGGAAGCUAGAGUAUGGGAGAGGAUGGUAGAAUUCCAGGUGUAGCGGUGAAAUGCGUAGAGAUCUGGAGGAAUACCGAUGGCGAAGGCAGCCAUCUGGCCUAAUACUGACGCUGAGGUACGAAAGCAUGGGGAGCAAACAGGAUUGGAUACCCGUGUAGUCCCUGUCUCUUAUAC